GGGUUAACACAAACCUGUUGAAAAAAUGGGGGUUAACAUAGUCGUGUAAAAAGAAUGUAGUAAAUAAACUUGUUUUAAAAGUAUUUUGAGUAAAAAAUAUAUUAUCAGUACACUAUGGACGUUUUCGAAUCGAAGGCUCGGGCUCAGGCUUCAGACUGAUGCAGCCAUUUUGAAGCCGCGUACGAAUCGGAGGCUCCGGAUCGGGCUUCGAAUUUGAGGCUUCGAUUUUGACUAAAAAGGGCGCCAGGUGAAGCCUCCUCAAGAAGUGGCUUCGCCAGGCUUCAUGGCGUCAGAUUCGUGAUGAUAAAACUUUUUCUUGCGGCAGCCAUUAAAAUCCUCGGUUACCGUUUAAUAAAAUUUACAAGUUUGGCUCUUUUGAGCGCGUUUUACUAUUUUUAACAGCAGUCUUCACCUGAUAUAUCACCCUUGAGAAGGCGAACAAUUUGCAUCAAUGAUAUUAAGAGUUGGAAGAGUGACUUUGGUGUGAGGAAAGCCACCAGGCCGAGGUUCAAGUCUAAUAGGGGCAAAAGGAUACUUGGACAAUGCCCAUAUCUGUCAGUUACAAGGAUCUGCAGCAAAGCGUCAAUGUGAGAAACGUAUAAUGUGCUAGCCAGUUCUGCAUCAAAGCGAAAGACCUGUUAGUUCAUUUCAGAAAGAUGUCAUCAGUAGGCCUGGGCAACAAGUGAAGUUUACUACUCAUAUAGUGCCAAAAACAUUGUAGUCACGACUUUGACACUAGUUGCGACUAUUUUAAACUUCCAAGAUACAUUGCGGCAAGUUGUUUGCCGCAGGCCCAAUCAAGUAAAAUUUGUGCUAAAAGGAUUGAAGUUGUUGGGAAUAGUCAAGAGCGACACAAUGGGAGACUUUCCAACGCUAGGUGGCAGCAGACUUACCGGGUAAACUUCAUUGUUUACGUAGUUAUGAGCUUGCGCAUAAUUCUGAGAACUAUGGCUUUACCCGGUAAGUCUGCUGCCACCUAUCGUCCUAGAAAGUCUCCUGUUGGUUAACCAAGCAAUAGCUGGACUGUUUUUGUAGUAGUCAUGGUAGCACGUCAACUAUCUGAGUAGUAGAACAAUAGGAGACUUUCCAACGCUAGGUGGCAGCAGACAUACCGGGUAAAUUUCCAUUG
Molecule: long non-coding RNA, 1129 nt
Organism: Asterias rubens (European starfish)
Lineage: Eukaryota; Metazoa; Echinodermata; Asteroidea; Forcipulatida; Asteriidae
Exons: 3
Source: RefSeq, a predicted model, not a curated record